UGUGUGUGUUCUGGUCGUGAUUUACACAUGAGCCACAAAGGAUUCUUGAUCAAAACCCUAAAUCACAAGAAAUUCAGCCAAAUCAAGGGAAAUCAAGCUAGGAAAUUGGGGCUUUUAAUAAAUUAGUGAUCACCAAGCCUAGGGGAUCACAAGUUUGACGCCUAACGAGCUAGAUGGAAGCUUGUGGAUGAAGCGGGUCAAAUGGAGCAAGUACGGAAAGAAAAGCGUGGCAUGGAUGCAAGGAUGAACGGCUCGGGAAUUAGCGAAGCUAUGAAAUAGCAAAUAAAUGAAGACAAGGUAUUACAAUGGGUCAAUAUGUUGAUCCGAGCCAGGUAAACUUUAGUAAGCUUACGGAUGAAGAUCAAGCUUGUUGAAGGACCGAACACAAUGCAGUUACAAGCUUCCGCACAUAGUUUAGUCGUUAUUUCUAAACGGCAAAUUUUUACCAAUCAUGAUGUAACGUUAUAAAAUUUAGAAAAGUUUUAAUUAACUUGUAUUAUUAAUUGAUAUGUAAUCAUAAGUACAUGUUUAUUUUCGUAAAUUAUACUAAAACAUUAAAAUAAUAGCAAGGGUGUUACAUUACGCCUUUAGACAACUUA
Molecule: long non-coding RNA, 599 nt
Filed under: Helianthus annuus (common sunflower)
Lineage: Eukaryota; Viridiplantae; Streptophyta; Magnoliopsida; Asterales; Asteraceae
Description: hypothetical non coding rna
Source: RNAcentral